AGAGUUUGAUCCUGGCUCAGAAUCAACGCUGGCGGCGCGCCUAACACAUGCAAGUCGAACGAGAAAGCGGGAGCAAUCUCGCAAGUAAAGUGGCGUACGGGUGAGUAACACGUGGAUUAUCUGCCCUGGAGUGGGGAAUAACGCUGGGAAACCGGCGCUAAUACCGCAUAUUCCCGAGAGGGGAAAGCAGCAAUGCGCUCGAGGAGGAGUCCGCGGCCGAUUAGCUAGUUGGCAGGGUAAAAGCCUACCAAGGCUAUGAUCGGUAGCCGGCCUGAGAGGGCACACGGCCACACUGGCACUGAAACACGGGCCAGACUCCUACGGGAGGCAGCAGUGGGGAAUCUUGCACAAUGGGGGAAACCCUGAUGCAGCGACGCCGCGUGAGCGAUGAAGCCCUUCGGGGUGUAAAGCUCUUUCGGCAGGGAAGAUUAUGACGGUACCUGCAGAAGCAGCUGCGGCUAACUACGUGCCAGCAGCCGCGGUAAUACGUAGGCAGCAAGCGUUGUUCGGAGUUACUGGGCGUAAAGGGUGUGUAGGCGGCCUGUUAAGUUCCGUGUGAAAUCUCCCGGCUCAACCGGGAGGGUGCGCGGAAUACUGACGGGCUAGAGUGCGGGAUGGGAGAGUAGAAUUCCUGGUGUAGCGGUGAAAUGCGUAGAUAUCAGGAGGAAUACCAGUGGUGUAGACGGCUCUCUGGACCGCAACUGACGCUGAGACACGAAAGCGUGGGUAGCAAACAGGAUUAGAUACCCUAGUAGUCC
RNAcentral lists this ribosomal RNA (758 nucleotides) under uncultured bacterium. RNAcentral's name for it is "bacterial SSU rRNA". It matches the Rfam family "Bacterial small subunit ribosomal RNA", at positions 8 to 796 of the family's 1533-position model. The record is from RNAcentral.